RNAcentral lists this ribosomal RNA (253 nucleotides) under uncultured bacterium. RNAcentral describes it as "partial 16S ribosomal RNA". It matches the Rfam family "Bacterial small subunit ribosomal RNA", at positions 524 to 776 of the family's 1533-position model. The record is from RNAcentral.
UACGAAAGGUGCAAGCGUUACUCGGAAUCACUGGGCGUAAAGCGCACGUAGGCGGAUUGUUAAGUCAGGGGUGAAAUCCUGGAGCUCAACUCCAGAACUGCCUUUGAUACUGGCGAUCUCGAGUCCGGGAGAGGUGAGUGGAACUGCGAGUGUAGAGGUGAAAUUCGUAGAUAUUCGCAAGAACACCAGUGGCGAAGGCGGCUCACUGGCCCGAUACUGACGCUGAGGCACGAAAGCGUGGGGAGCAAACAGG